RNAcentral lists this long non-coding RNA (233 nucleotides) under Elaeis guineensis (African oil palm). RNAcentral describes it as "long non-coding RNA (EGUI_LNC003269)". The record is from RNAcentral. Lineage: Eukaryota; Viridiplantae; Streptophyta; Magnoliopsida; Arecales; Arecaceae.
GGGGAGUGGAAUCUGAAUCUAAUAUAACAGAAGCAUGGAUCACUAAUUCUGAAACUUUCGGAAAUCCUCAAAGGCUGGGGCAGGAACUUAAGGAGGAUGCAGUGUGAAAAGAAAAUCAUUUUUGGAAUAAUGGAAACUAUUGACAUACUGGAAGAAUCUGGGAAUCUCUCAUUGGAACAAGGGAAUUAAAAUCUUCUCCUAAAAAUUAGUUAUGGAGGAACCAUAUUGGCAAC